CCUCAGAUUCCGAAAACCCAAAAAGCCCUAACCUAUUACUCUCAUUAGGAAAAAUGAAAAUCCAGUGCUGGCGACGACUCCUACUUCACUCUCUGAAAACCCAAAACCUAAGGAUUGUCAACCUCUUUUGGGAAGUUCUGGAGCAAGACAAGAGUUGACAAGAUCGGGUCUUAAUCUAAGGCCUCUUCAACGGGAGGAGACCUUGAAACCCUUGAGUGGGUUGACGGAGUCUGACCAGUUUGUGAAGAUUGAUCAGACUGUUAGUAGACCUGUGUUGCUUGAUACGCAAGUCCUGAGAAAACUAAGCUCAAGCCAUCUCCAAAGAAGAAGAAUGAAAGGAAGGGUUGCAGAGAGAGGGAUUUCUAUUUAGUGGGAGGGUACCUUUUUGUGCAUCCAAAUUUUUGAGUACCGGAUUUCGGUUUUGCCUGGUUUGGCUGUCUUGGGCUGUGAAUAAACUGAGGGACACCAUUGUCCAUAUAAGCAAGAACUCUGGCAAGUUAGGUUUGAAAGAAGAGGAAAUGAUGAAGAGAGUGGACAGAAGUGUGAAUGAGAUUUUCUUCAGAGCUGCAACAGUGAUGGCAGUUGCAGUGCUGAGACUUGCAUGAGCGUCAAGAUUAAGCAGAAUGAAAUACUAAAUAUAUUGAAGAACCUUUUGAGGGAGAAGUGAGCACAAUUGUACAUGUAUGAGCUAAGCUGAGUGACAAUGGAACGGGUUCUACAUAAUAGUGACGAUGACAAUGGUGAGAACAAUGGCAUGUCACUGGCUGAUUGACGCCGCAGGGCUAGAGUGCUGUUGGGCCAGUCCAUCAGGAGACGAAAGCGCAGAGAACCUAAUGGAGGUCCAAGACAGAGUAGAAUGAUAUUUAGAAGGACAAGGCCCCUAUGGUACUUGGAAAUGAAAAGGCAGGGGCCGGGGAAAGUUUCACGGUUCUUUAGUUUUUAGGGAAAAAAGAUCGUAAAAAAAAAAAAGAUUAAAAAAAAAAAUGGAUUUGACAAUACUUUCCUCCUCUCUCUGAUUUUCAUGCAUUUGAUUCUCAUUUAUGUUGACAAAAAUAACUGGGAAAACUGAAGUUGGGAAAAAUGGUGUUCAUUUUUCCCUAUAUGUAAUUUUUAAUUUGUAAUUGCCUAGUUUCAUUUUCCAUGAAAAACCCUACAUGCAAAAUUUGCUAAAUGUAGACAUGUAAUUUCUUUAGUUCCA
Long non-coding RNA from Vitis vinifera (wine grape), 1198 nucleotides. RefSeq lists it as uncharacterized. Lineage: Eukaryota; Viridiplantae; Streptophyta; Magnoliopsida; Vitales; Vitaceae. The record is from RefSeq and is a predicted model, not a curated record. The transcript is spliced from 3 exons.